Molecule: ribosomal RNA, 497 nt
Filed under: uncultured bacterium
Lineage: Bacteria
Description: partial 16S ribosomal RNA
Rfam family: Bacterial small subunit ribosomal RNA
Source: RNAcentral
GAUGAACGCUGGCGGCGUGCCUAAUACAUGCAAGUCGAGCGAACAGACGAGGAGCUUGCUCCUCUGACGUUAGCGGCGGACGGGUGAGUAGCACGUGGAUAACCUACCUAUAAGACUGGGAUAACUUCGGGAAACCGGAGCUAAUACCGGAUAAUAUAUUGAACCGCAUGGUUCAAUAGUGAAAGACGGUUUUGCUGUCACUUAUAGAUGAAUCCGCGCCGCAUUAGCUAGUUGGUAAGGUAACGGCUUACCAAGGCAACGAUGCGUAGCCGACCUGAGAGGGUGAUCGGCCACACUGGAACUGAGACACGGUCCAGACUCCUACGGGAGGCAGCAGUAGGGAAUCUUCCGCAAUGGGCGAAAGCCUGACGGAGCAACGCCGCGUGAGUGAUGAAGGUCUUCGGAUCGUAAAACUCUGUUAUUAGGGAAGAACAAAUGUGUAAGUAACUAUGCACGUCUUGACGGUACCUAAUCAGAAAGCCACGGCUAACUACGUG